This 1941-nucleotide long non-coding RNA is filed under the name Medicago truncatula (barrel medic). RNAcentral's name for it is "long non-coding RNA (MTRU_LNC007850)". Lineage: Eukaryota; Viridiplantae; Streptophyta; Magnoliopsida; Fabales; Fabaceae. The record is from RNAcentral.
GAAAAAUUGUGGUUGGAAGGAUAGAGGUGGUCAACCAUGUAUAAAUCAAUUCUACCAUUUGAUUCAUGUCUUCUUCCGUUAGAAAUCCACUAACUUUCGUUAUCCUAUGAUCUUCAGGAGUUUCAAGGUUGGAUGCUUCCUUUGAAUUGGUGGUUUGACUAAUUGAUCAUAAAGGUCCUCAGCUGAGGUCAUUGGUGUAUCGAGUUCCUACAACAUAUCCUCACAACGUAUUCUAGCCUUAACCCCUUAUGUCUCUAAUUGGUUCAACAGAUCAUGUAACCCAGACGAUGAAUUACUUAUUACUGUGUUUUUUGAGACCAGGUUCUCAGUGGUGGCUAGCAUAUCAAACACCUAAGUCUUAUUCGACUGAUAUGGAUUUACAUUGCUCAUCCUGCUUGAUUAAUUUCUUCCCUUUCCGAGUUGUUCUACGUACACUUGUGGGCUCAGAGAAUGAUACCAUGGCCAUUUUUCGUGACUGGGAAAGAAUCGAUUUCGAUGUCCAUCUCAAGCAUUCUCUUAUUUGCUAGCUUAAACAUACCCUCAUUAUUUUUUAAUAGAUUUUCAAAUGACAAUGCAAUUAAAUGUUGAGUGGUUGUUGGAGUUGCCUAUGAUGUCCUCAGCUUGAGGAAUCUUAUGACUAUCUAAUAUCCGGAUUUGCUUAUACUUAAGCAGAUAAUCAAAUAAUUGGCCAGCCUUAUGUCAAAGGCUUAUAACAUUCAAUCUUCUGAUGAACUUAUGUCAUUCCCUUAGGAGGACCUUAAGGCAGGCCAUGUAUAACUUUUCUCUUUUAGGAUCUCAAUCGUUAGAAUGUCUACUGUUGGAUCAACUGACAUAUCAUCAUCAGAAUUCUUGAUAUCUAUGAUAUAUAUUAAGUGUAUACCUCUCCCUCGGCUAGAACACCUAUUUUCUUUCUCUUUACUGAAUUUCACUGUUUUCUUCUAGGGAAGUCAAUUCAUUUGAUCAUGGCAGGCUAACCCAACCAAUUUCUCUUUUAGUUGUGGGUACAUGCCAUUGAUGGCCAAUGAUACAUAUUCGACGUUGGGAAGUUAUCCAAAACAUUUCACAACCAUUUUUAUGAACAUUUAAUGAAGCCAAAAACUGAUUCAUCCAUUUGUUGCUUCAUAUUCAUUAAAUAGGUUGUUGUAACCUUGGGUUGAGGACAAUAGAAUUUGUCAUAGAAGCAUCUUUUCAUGUAUGCCUAAGUUUUUACCGAGUUUGGUGGUAUACAGGAAUAUCACGUAAAUGAUGUUCAUGUCAACGAUAAAGGGAACAAGUGAAGUUUGUGGAAUUCGUUUGUGGAAAAUGUACAACGUAAUAUUACGUUGUACAUUUUCCAAUGAGCUCCAUGGUUGAUUUUCCAUCUUCCCGGGUAAAGGUAGAAUAGUCAGGAGUCUUAUAACCUCCAGGAAAAUGCAUUAAUUUGUCAACCCACUCAUGAUAAGUCUUCUUAUACACAUGUUAAUCCAUGGGGGUUUCAGCUGUAUCCUAAAGUACCUCUUGAUUGUAUCAAAUAUGAGGUUGAGAUCUAACAAUUGUGGUCCAAGAGGUCUUGCCUUGGUUUCAGCUAGCCGAAGCCACAUAUUUUUUUGGGGGAUUUUGAAAACCUUAUUGAGCUUGAACUUGAGGUGGGGGUAUUCCCCAUGGAUGAUCUUGGUUUAGCUCAAAAUUGCUCCUCUCUAAUGAUCUCCUACAACAAACAAAUUGUUAUAAUGGUGAUGCGAAUUAGGAGUCCAUGGUUGUUCACCAUUAUAUCCAACUGUUGGUCUAUGUGUCGUUAAACUCACUAAGGCUUGUACAUUUGCAUCUGGUCGUGGAAGGUAUUUUGUAGGAUUAGUUAAUAUAGGAGAAUUUACUAAUGAUUGUUGAAUCGGAUAAUAUACAAUUGGAUGUUGUAUUCAUGUUACUGGGUUGCAAGUGUAUCAUCUAGUGUAGGACAUGUUG